GUGCAAACUCGAUCACUAGCUGUGCAUGAUGUGGCAGCAGCUAAGGGAACCAGGUUUGCUAGAGUAAUUGUGGUGAUAGCAAUGUACCAACCUCAGAAGCUACUGAGGUGCCCAUUCUGUCCCAGUACAGUC
Molecule: small nucleolar RNA, 132 nt
Organism: Rattus rattus (black rat)
Lineage: Eukaryota; Metazoa; Chordata; Mammalia; Rodentia; Muridae
Source: RefSeq, a predicted model, not a curated record